GACGAACGCUGGCGGCGUGCCUAAUACAUGCAAGUAGAACGCACAGUUUAUACCGUAGCUUGCUACACCAUACACUGUGAGUUGCGAACGGGUGAGUAACGCGUAGGUAACCUGCCUGGUAGCGGGGGAUAACUAUUGGAAACGAUAGCUAAUACCGCAUAAUAUUAAUUAUUGCAUGAUAAUUGAUUGAAAGAUGCAAUUGCAUCACUACCAGAUGGACCUGCGUUGUAUUAGCUAGUAGGUGAGGUAACGGCUCACCUAGGCGACGAUACAUAGCCGACCUGAGAGGGUGAUCGGCCACACUGGGACUGAGACACGGCCCAGACUCCUACGGGAGGCAGCAGUAGGGAAUCUUCGGCAAUGGACGAAAGUCUGACCGAGCAACGCCGCGUGAGUGAAGAAGGGUUUCGGAUCGUAAAGCUCGGUUGUAAGAGAAGAACGGGUGUGAGAGUGGAAAGUUCACACUGUGACGGUAUCUUACCAGAAAGGGACGGCUAACUACGUG
Molecule: ribosomal RNA, 505 nt
Filed under: uncultured bacterium
Lineage: Bacteria
Description: partial 16S ribosomal RNA
Rfam family: Bacterial small subunit ribosomal RNA
Source: RNAcentral